UUCUGUAGGGGUGACCUGCGGAGGGAUCAUUACCGAGUUUACAACUCCCAAACCCAAUGUGAACGUUACCAAACUGUUGCCUCGGCGGGAUCUCUGCCCCGGGUGCGUCGCAGCCCCGGACCAAGGCGCCCGCCGGAGGACCAACCAAAACUCUUAUUGUAUACCCCCUCGCGGGUUUUUUUUAUAAUCUGAGCCUUCUCGGCGCCUCUCGUAGGCGUUUCGAAAAUGAAUCAAAACUUUCAACAACGGAUCUCUUGGUUCUGGCAUCGAUGAAGAACGCAGCGAAAUGCGAUAAGUAAUGUGAAUUGCAGAAUUCAGUGAAUCAUCGAAUCUUUGAACGCACAUUGCGCCCGCCAGUAUUCUGGCGGGCAUGCCUGUCCGAGCGUCAUUUCAACCCUCGAACCCCUCCGGGGGGUCGGCGUUGGGGAUCGGCCCUGCCUUGGCGGUGGCCGUCUCCGAAAUACAGUGGCGGUCUCGCCGCAGCCUCUCCUGCGCAGUAGUUUGCACACUCGCAUCGGGAGCGCGGCGCGUCCACAGCCGUUAAACACCCAACUUCUGAAAUGUUGACCUCGGAUCAGGUAGGAAUACCCGCUGAACUUAAGCAUAUCAAAA
RNAcentral lists this ribosomal RNA (612 nucleotides) under Trichoderma harzianum. RNAcentral's name for it is "eukaryotic LSU rRNA". The stretch from base 235 to 388 matches the Rfam family "5.8S ribosomal RNA". Lineage: Eukaryota; Fungi; Ascomycota; Sordariomycetes; Hypocreales; Hypocreaceae. The record is from RNAcentral.